This is a non-coding RNA of Cicer arietinum (chickpea), 2287 nucleotides long. The record is from RefSeq and is a predicted model, not a curated record. Lineage: Eukaryota; Viridiplantae; Streptophyta; Magnoliopsida; Fabales; Fabaceae.
CCGACCAUGCCAUCUAUAUAUACUUUUCUCUCAAACAUUAUAGUAAACGUUUUCUACUGCUUGUUCUUGUUUUGUGUUUUACUCGUUUGUGAUGAUUCUGAUUUCUUCAAGCCCUAGUUCUUGAGCAAUCCAGUUUCUUGUAGCCCUAGUUCUUGAUUGCUCCGAUUUCUUGAUACUCGUUGCUCCGAUUACUUGCUUCUUGAUGGCUCGAUUUCAGGAGAUUCUUAUGGAUUUGCCUUAUCGAUUUCACAAUUCUCUUGACUCCUCUUAUACAAAUCGCGAUCUGAAGUCUGAGUUCAAAGGUUAAGAACGGAGAACGCAUCCAGAUAGACGAAUCAAGUUUCUUCAAUGAGUCGUUCUUUAAUUUUUUUAUUUAUUUUCUUGCUUUGAUUGCAAGACAUACGAAUUACGAAUUGAAUUGUGAACCUGUUUUUCUGCAGCAUGAUUUCUCGAAAUAAUACCGUUCUUCAUAGCAAAGAAUAAAUGGAUGCUCGAGUUUUGUUUGGUGAUCUCUAGUAAAAAAAUAUUCGUUUCAAUCUUUCUCUUUAGAUUCCGAGAGCAUAUUUUCUUGAAGUAAAUUAUUUGCGUUUAAAUAUUUAUGUUUUCAUUCUUGAUUUUGUUCGUCUUUGGUGUUGCAGGAGAGGUAAUCUGUGAACACACGAUUCCUUCUUGGUUCUAUCUUCCUCUUGUUUGAUUUUGAUGUUUUUUAUUCUUAUUCUCUUAUCCUUUAUCAUAUAGGUUCUUGAUUUUGUUCUUGCUGGUUUCUUUCAUUGAGUUUGUUGUUCUUAUUUGCAUGAUCUGCUGCUAUUUUUGAGUUGUUGCUGGUUGGGAGAGGUUUCUGUUAUUGUCUUUUACUCAUUAGUUGUUUUUGUGGUUAUUUGUGAUUUACGAUGAUAAUCCUAAAAAGAUAUCCUUUGUUACAGUGGCCCAAGGACUCAUCUGUAGUAAGAAGAAUCCAAAAUUGUGUCAUUUCAUAUGGAGUACAUGAUCUUGCACGUUGGAUGGAAAUUUGUUCCAAUGAUUCAUAAGCUCUUGCUGGCUGUGUCGUAUACUUUUAGCUGUUGCUAGGUUUUAAUUCGGCCAUCUUUACUAAGUAUCUUCACAUUUCAUUAUUUGUUUGAUACUCAGCUUAUACUUUUGUCAGUCAGUUCCUUUGAGUUUUCUGUCUGGAAGUUACAGGGGAGAUAGCCUAUGAUUGUGUAGUUUGCUGUGGAACUUGUGGCAGGAAGAGGUUCAGUUCUAACACACCCUUAAAAUAAAAACCCGUCAUUUUGUACUUACAUAUCUAAUAUCUUAUUGUUUUGGGAUAUUUGUUGUUUGAUGGAGUGCCCUGCUGGUUUUGGAUUUUCUGUGUUGCUAUUUCAGCAAGAUUCUAGAGUGUUGAAGCAUACAAGAUUCUAGAGUAUACCUUUUCCCUCACCGAGGAUGUGGAAUUAGGGAUAACUUGGUUUGUCAUUUUUUUGUUCUGUUCAUUUGCCACUUCCUUUGUUAUAUUUGUUUCUAUUUUCUUGUCAAUUGUGAUACUUAGGAGUAAGGUUAAGAAUAAUAGUAUUAUCUCUAGUUGUACAUGAAUUCCUUCUGGUAUAGGGAUAAAGUCUAAUUUUGCAUUGGAGCACUGGAAUCUACAAUUGGUACAUGAACUCCUUCUGGUAUAGGGGUAAAGCCUAAUUUUGCAUGGGAGCUCUGGAAUCCAAAAUUGAUUGUGUACUAUAUUCUCACGAUUGUUGUUCUUUCAUUUGGUGAUCUCUACUUUGACUAUGUAAUUUUCUUGUUUCUUUGUCUUUUGAAGACUUGUUUUCUCGAUCUUUCGAGAGCUAUGUGUGGGUGUCACAGGGGAUGUAGACAGUGAAAGCUAUGACAUAGAUUAUCAAGGACGUGAUUUUGCUAUGGAGAGAGCCAAUGAAUGUACCAUGGGAUGUGGAAGCUGUUGUAGACAUUAUCGAGGACAUGCCUUUGGAUUUAAUGGGUCAUUUUUCUCCUUGAAUGUGUUUAUUCUGUAAUUCUAGAAUGGGAUAUCUUAUGAUAUUGUAAUGUGGCGAUGUUGAUUUUUGUGUUUUUUACUGAGAGUUGUAAGAGAGGUUCUGAAGUGCAUGUACAUAUUUUUCAAGGAUAAUUUAAGACAUGCAUUUAUGUGUUUUGCAGUGAGUUGAAGUUUAGAUAUCUAGAACCUUGAGCCUUGUUGGAUGGAUAAGAAAGGGAAAGCCCUAGAUAAAUCAAAUUUCUUCCGAGUCAUUAUAAUUGUUAUUUCCGGAUGUUGAUCGCAAAACAUACAAAUGAAUUGUGAACU